Molecule: ribosomal RNA, 320 nt
Filed under: uncultured Lachnospiraceae bacterium
Lineage: Bacteria; Bacillati; Bacillota; Clostridia; Lachnospirales; Lachnospiraceae
Description: partial 16S ribosomal RNA
Source: RNAcentral
GGAGUUUGGACCGUGUCUCAGUUCCAAUGUGGGGGACCUUCCUCUCAGAACCCCUACCGAUCGAGGGCUUGGUGGGCCGUUACCUCACCAACCAGCUAAUCAGACGCGGGUCCAUCUUAUCCCGAUAAAUCUUUUCACACUGUAUCAUGCGAUACCGUGCGCUUAUGCGGUAUUAGCAGUAAUUUCUCACUGUUAUCCCCCUGGAUAAGGCAGGUUACCCACGCGUUACUCACCCGUCCGCCACUAAGUUUAGUCAAAAGCAAGCUUUCAUCUAAACUCCGUUCGACUUGCAUGUGUUAAGCACGCCGCCAGCGUUCAUC